RNAcentral lists this ribosomal RNA (854 nucleotides) under Hypocreales sp. Rco022EF4. RNAcentral's name for it is "SSU rRNA". It matches the Rfam family "Eukaryotic small subunit ribosomal RNA", at positions 238 to 1121 of the family's 1831-position model. The record is from RNAcentral. Lineage: Eukaryota; Fungi; Ascomycota; Sordariomycetes; Hypocreales.
GCUCCUUGGUGAUUCAUAAUAACUUUUCGAAUCGCACGGCCUUGCGCCGGCGAUGGUUCAUUCAAAUUUCUUCCCUAUCAACUUUCGAUGUUUGGGUAUUGGCCAAACAUGGUCGCAACGGGUAACGGAGGGUUAGGGCUCGACCCCGGAGAAGGAGCCUGAGAAACGGCUACUACAUCCAAGGAAGGCAGCAGGCGCGCAAAUUACCCAAUCCCGAUUCGGGGAGGUAGUGACAAUAAAUACUGAUACAGGGCUCUUUUGGGUCUUGUAAUUGGAAUGAGUACAAUUUAAAUCUCUUAACGAGGAACAAUUGGAGGGCAAGUCUGGUGCCAGCAGCCGCGGUAAUUCCAGCUCCAAUAGCGUAUAUUAAAGUUGUUGUGGUUAAAAAGCUCGUAGUUGAACCUUGGGCCUGGCUGGCCGGUCCGCCUCACCGCGUGUACUGGUCCGGCCGGGCCUUUCCCUCUGUGGAACCUCAUGCCCUUCACUGGGUGUGGCGGGGAAACAGGACUUUUACUUUGAAAAAAUUAGAGUGCUCCAGGCAGGCCUAUGCUCGAAUACAUUAGCAUGGAAUAAUAAAAUAGGACGUGUGGUUCUAUUUUGUUGGUUUCUAGGAGCGCCGUAAUGGUUAAUAGGGAGAAUCGAGGGCAUCAAUAUUCAAUUGUCAGAGGUGAAAAUUUAUUGAAGACUAACUACUGCGAAAGCAUUUGCCAAGGAUGUUUUCAUUAAAGGAACGAAAGUUAUUGACUCAAGGGAUCAGAUACAGGCGUAGUCUUAACCAUAAACUAAGGGAUCGGACGAUGUUAUCCGUUCGCCCGUUCGGCACCUUACAAACAAAGUGCUUGGGCUCCAGGGGG